Molecule: unclassified non-coding RNA, 352 nt
Filed under: Hevea brasiliensis (rubber tree)
Lineage: Eukaryota; Viridiplantae; Streptophyta; Magnoliopsida; Malpighiales; Euphorbiaceae
Source: RNAcentral
AAUAGCUUGAGGGUUACAUCGCCCGAUGGUUUGAAAGGUACCUACGACAGUGCCAUUGGGAAUUUUGGGAUUCCUCAAUAUGGAGGUAGCAUGUCUGGGACUGUGGUGUUUCCGAAGGAGAAUCAGAAGGGUUGCAGAGAGUUCAGCGACGCUGGAAUUUCGUUCCAGUCGAAACCAGGAGCUCUCCCUACCUUCGUUUUGGUUGAUCGGGGAGAUUGUUUCUUUGCCUUGAAGGUCUGGAAUGCGCAGAAGGCUGGUGCUUCUGCAGUUCUUGUUGCAGACAACAUCGAGGAAAGAUUAAUAACCAUGGACUCCCCUGAAGAGGAUGGUUCUACCGCAAAAUACAUUGAAA